UACGUAGGUGGCAAGCGUUGUCCGGAUUUACUGGGCGUAAAGAGCGCGCAGGCGGUCGAUUAAGUCGAGUGUGAAAGCCCCCGGCUCAACUGGGGAGGGUCAUUUGAUACUGGUCGACUCGAAGGCAGGAGAGGGAAGUGGAAUUCCCGGUGUAGUGGUGAAAUGCGUAGAGAUCGUGAGGAAGACCAACGGCGAAGGCAGCUCUCUGGACAAUUCCUGACGCUCAGGCACGA
RNAcentral lists this ribosomal RNA (233 nucleotides) under uncultured bacterium. Its description in RNAcentral is "partial 16S ribosomal RNA". It matches the Rfam family "Bacterial small subunit ribosomal RNA", at positions 524 to 756 of the family's 1533-position model. The record is from RNAcentral.